CCUACGGGUGGCUGCAGUGGGGAAUAUUGGGCAAUGGGCGCAAGCCUGACCCAGCAACGCCGCGUGAGGGAAGAAGGUUUUCGGAUUGUAAACCUCUGUCGCAGAUGACGAAACAAAUGACGGUAAUCUGUGAGGAAGCCCCGGCUAACUACGUGCCAGCAGCCGCGGUAAUACGUAGGGGGCGAGCGUUGUCCGGAAUUACUGGGCGUAAAGGGAGCGUAGGCGGUCGAUUAAGUUGGAUGUGAAAUACCCGGGCUUAACUUGGGGGGUGCAUCCAAUACUGGUUGACUAGAGUACAGGAGAGGAAAGCGGAAUUCCUAGUGUAGCGGUGAAAUGCAUAGAUAUUAGGAGGAACAUCGGUGGCGAAGGCGGCUUUCUGGACUGACACUGACGCUGAGGCUCGAAAGCGUGGGGAGCAAACAGGAUUAGAUACCCCUGUAGUC
RNAcentral lists this ribosomal RNA (443 nucleotides) under uncultured Christensenellaceae bacterium. RNAcentral describes it as "bacterial SSU rRNA". It matches the Rfam family "Bacterial small subunit ribosomal RNA", at positions 338 to 795 of the family's 1533-position model. Lineage: Bacteria; Bacillati; Bacillota; Clostridia; Christensenellales; Christensenellaceae. The record is from RNAcentral.